UCUCCUUUCUGCCACCAGCGUCUUUUCAUCUCCCAAGAAAUCUUUUAUCCCCAAAUCCAAAUCUGCUCAGAAAAUAUUCUUUUCUCUACCGAUGCAGCAUCUGUUCUUCACCCUUUCACUCCUUUAAAACUCCCUUUCAAGAACAUUCCCGGUCCUUUUCCAUCUCCAAUCUGCAAAAUCUGCCACUUAAAAUACUUUCAACCUCAAGAGUUCAAGACACCCAUCAAGCUUAUCAAGCCAAAUAAGCAAUACUACAGCACAUUCAUCAAAACCAAACUGAACAAGGUUCGAUCUCUCCCUUCAACUUUAUACCACAGCAUGUAUUUCCUCUACAACUAGAUUUACAAUCUCACACAUUGACAUGAACUUGAACAGCAUACUUUUCAUUCAUAACUUGUAAGGAUUUUUAGUAAAACACAAUCUCUGCUAAAAUAAGACUAUUAAAAUCUGUACUACAACAAAGCAACUAUAUCAAGAACAGUACCAACGAACACCAAACUUGACGCCUUUCCUGCUUCCUUUCUCGUGAACCAAUUCCCAUUAUUCUUCAAGAACAUACCUUGUUUAACUCUGCAAGUUCGAUCUUCCUUUCCUUCUUCCUCUUGGGCUGGGAUGUGGGAGUCUUGGUCUGGAAUGUGGGAGUCGAGGGAAGAAGAGGGUCUUCUGCCCGGUGAUGAGGACGGCGGCGGCACGGCGAAUUUCAGAACGCCGUUGCUCGGCCGGCCGCGAGGAAGAAAGGGGAGUCGGCUGGCAGCAGGACUGCUGUGGUAGAGUCGCUGCCUAGGUGGCUGACCACCACACGCAGAGGGAGAAGUGAUGGAGCGGGCUGGGCCGUGAGAGGGAGCGCUGGAGGAUGGCGGCGGCGCGGCCGGAGGCCAGGCGCGCUGCCCGCUGUGAAAACAGCAGCGGCGGCGGCAACCUUCCUCGGCCGUCCGCUGCAGAUGACGCAAGGGAGAAGAGGGUGGGGAGCGCGAGGUGGCUGGUGGCUGACGGCGAGGCCAGGGCGGCGCGGCCUAAGGCCGAGCGCCGCUGACGCGGCGGAAAUGGAGCAGCAUCGGCGGCGGCCCUCCUUGACCGUCUGCUAUCGGGAGCGAGAGAAGGAAGGCGAUGAGAGGGAGGCCCCGGAUCCGGCGAUUUCGCCGGAGCUGGAGGCGGCCGGCGUGGAGCUCGGGAGGGAAGGCGGAGGUUCUGGAGAAAAGGGGGGCGAGGCGAGAGAGGGAGAGAGAAGCGUGAGUAGAGAGAGAGGAAGAUUGACUUGUUUUAUUUUAAUUACCUUUAGGUUUAUUUAAGCUUUGUUUGGGCCUCAUUUCAUAAUAAUUUGAUGGGCUUUUUCUUUGACAUGGGCCGAUUCUUAAUAGAGUACCGGGCCGAUUUUAAUAUUUAAAUGGGCUACACAUUUUUAGAUUGUUUUUGGGCUGCAUUAUUAUAACAAGUCUUUAGAUUAUUAUCUUGGGCUUUAACUAUUAUCUUGAGCCUGAAAGUAGUUUAAUAAUAAAUUAUUAAUUUUUCUCCCAAUAUUAAGGUUUAUAUUUUCUUUUAAUUUUUAAUUAUUUAUAAAUUUAGUGGUAAUUAUAUUUAUUAAAUUACUAAUUAUGUAUUAAGAGUUUAUUGAUUCACUUAUAGAGAUUUUUAAUUCGGGCAAAAUGUAUCAAUAGUUAGCAAUCCUUACUUUACUUAGAAAUUAGGAUGACACCUCGAGACCUAUUUAGAAUAGAUUCUUGUAGGUUCGAGUAACCAAGGGCUUAGAGCUUCAAGAAGAGCAAGCACUGAAUCUCCCAUUGAGGUGGGUUUUAUUUUAUAUACAAUGUAUCUUGAGUUAUAUAAGCUCUGAUAUUUCAUGAAAAUUAUCUGUUUAUCCAAUAUAAAUGUUUUUAUGUGCGUUCUGUAAUUGUUUAAGGCUCACUUAAGUAUCGAUCGAGAUUCUCAUUUGGCCUAACACGCUAAAUGAGGAUUGUGUACACAGGGUUAGUGGCUCGAUGGGUUGAUCACCAUCGUGCACUAACAGAUUUAGAACGUUAUAAGGGUGGGUGCUUGACAGGAGGUUAUCCGGAGCACGGUGCUUGACAGGAGGUUAUCCGGAGCACAGUUAAGGUUAUUGAUUCCGACCGGGUGCGUCCCGAGAUCAAUAACAGAUUUUGGAUCUGACUGGGUGCGUCCCGAGAUCAGUGAAUGUAGGGAGAAAGUGAGUAACAAUCGAACGUACAUGGCGCGCCACUAAAUGAGAAAAGUUUUGUCAUGCUUAGAAGUGGGAUCCGUUUUAAAACCUUCUAAGUCAUGAAUGUGAUAUUGGAUAAACUGCUUCGAUUAUUUCAUAAAAUAUUUCGAAAACUUGUGCCCACUGAGUACAUUAGUACUCAGCCCAAAUUAUUUUCAAAUGUUUUCAGGUUGAUCAGUUGGUGCAGACGAGGCUGAGCUGAGGCUAGGGUUCCACGAUGUCUUUUGCUUCCGCUAAUAACUAUCUUGUCAUCUCAUCCUCCAUCCCCUAAAUUGAGAAUUUCUAUUGUGUGGUAUAAUAUUAUCUUGUUGGGCUUAGACUCUUAACCCAUAUUUCUAUUAAUGGAGCUAUCAUUGAUUAUGAUCAGAGUCACGAAACUAAACCUAUGCGAUCCUGAGUUCGAAUAUUGUCAUUUGAUUAGCAUCUCUUAAUGCCUUUCAUUUUAUCUCCUUUCAUCUUAUCUCUUUAGAUAUGCAUACCCGAUUUAAUGGGUAAAUUAUAAAUUUUAUUCAGCUCAAUUAAGUUCUUCAAUUAUUUUCCUAUUUCUUUUUGCCU
RNAcentral lists this long non-coding RNA (2770 nucleotides) under Salvia miltiorrhiza (redroot sage). RNAcentral's name for it is "long non-coding RNA (SMIL_LNC005762)". The record is from RNAcentral. Lineage: Eukaryota; Viridiplantae; Streptophyta; Magnoliopsida; Lamiales; Lamiaceae.